This is a long non-coding RNA of Helianthus annuus (common sunflower), 2411 nucleotides long. RefSeq lists it as uncharacterized. The record is from RefSeq and is a predicted model, not a curated record. Lineage: Eukaryota; Viridiplantae; Streptophyta; Magnoliopsida; Asterales; Asteraceae. The transcript has 8 exons.
UAAUCCUCUAAUUGCCACCUGGCAUUUGCUUAAACCAUUACUCUUCUUUUUGAGCGGCAAUUUGUUUACAAGAGGCUUCUCAAACACGCAUUAUUCAAAAACCCUAAUUAUCAUCUUCUUCAAUUCUCUGGCGAUUUCAUACUUCUUCAGUUGUCUCAAACACAAAAACUCUAAUCAAGGUAUCUUUAUCAUCUUCAACUUGCUUUCAGAUCUUGAAGUUUUAUUCACGAUUAAUUUCCUUUUCAUUUUUCAAGUUUUCAUCUUCUUUCCUAUUUGAAGUUUUCCUUUUCCCUUUCCAAAACCCUAAGUUCAACCAUGGCCGCACACCUCUUUCAGUUUUAAAUAUCCUCAAAGUUCAUCGCUAUCGAUCUCCUUCUUCAGUUUUAUCAUCAAUCAAAGUUCAUCGCUGUUGAUCUCCUUCUUCACAUGAAUCUUCAGUUUUAUCAUCAAUUUCUGUAAAUGAUUUUCGAACGAAUAGGAUUAUAAAACGUGGUUAUUAUCAUCAUCAUCAUCCUUUGAUUUUGUAAGAUUUGUAUUCAACCUUCCUUUGUUUAAAAUGCCGAUCGAAGAAUAAGGAUUGGAAAAGCAUAGACGUCUUCCAUCCCAAACCAACCAUAUCAAAAAUCGCCCAGUUACGGAGAAGGUAGUAGUGGUCGGAAAGUACUUGAUAUUGAUCUGAAUGAGGUUCGGGUCGGUACGAUGGAAGAAGAUGAAGGUGGGAAUGGGAAUGGGUAUGCUUCUUCAUCAUAUAACUCAAAUAUAGGCGAGGUUAAAGGUACCCAAUAUGUUUAUGUUUAUGUUUAACGCAUUUGUGAAAAAAAGUAGAUUGAUAUGCAUAUGUACUAGGAAUAUACUGGAGUUCAAACUGGGAAUUUGUCAAGUCUAAUAAAAGAUAAAUCAAUCACCAGCUGAGUUUUUUGUACCUUUGAUUGCAAUUUUGUGACAGGUUGGUGACCAAGAUGAAAAGCUGGCAGAAGGUAUCAAGCUUUAUGCUAUACCAACCACUUCAACUAGAAAGCGUGAGAUAUAAAGAGUUGCGAGGACUGGACAAUUCGGUUUUCCACGUAUCGAUUUUACCAUUCGGUUUUCCAGUCCCAUGACUGAAGACUCAACCAUAAACAUGUUGUUACUACAUACAUGCUCAUGGUCCAGUCUUGGGUUGGUGAAGUUCUAGCUUAUCGCCAUACCAUAAGCAUGAUGAAUCAAUGUUAGAUGCUCUUGGAAUCCUUCCACGACGUAAACAACAUAAGAAACUCUUGCUGAAACGGCAUUAUAGAUAAGAAUGCAAAGAUUGGAAAUGAUGUGGUGAUAAUGAAUAAAGAUGUGGAAAGUGGUCAUGUAGCAGCACGUUAUAAUCAUCGUUUUCAUCCGUGUGAAGAAAAUUCAUAGUUGAGGAGGUAAAAUUAGGGGUGUUCAACUGGUCGUGUUCCAGGUUGGUGGGUUCAACCUGUCCCAAACCCGAUAAUUUUAGACGAUCCCAAACACGACCUAACCCGAAAAUCGGGUCUUACAUAUGAACCCGAACACGACCCGAAUAUACACGAGUUGCUGACCCGUUGAACUCGAAUUUUGUUUAUAAAUUAGUUUUUUUUUUUGCAAAUUAUUAUACUAAAAUUAAAAUUUACUUAUAAAAACAUGAAUUUAAACUAUAAAAUAUUACGCCAAUUUCUCUUUUUAAGUUAUAAUUAUGUCAUAAAAUACACACCCAAUUUAGUUUAUGAUGUAAAACAUAUAGUAAAAAAUAUAAUAUGUUAUAAAUGGGUUAAACGAGUCAACCCACCAACCCGAGCAAUUUGACCCGUACCGUUUAGCUAAACGGGUUUGUGGGUUCCGAUCAAAGAUAACGAAACAUACCCUUUUUUCAUUUUCGGUUCACAAAAGAGCAUCGCUUAUAUAUUUAAUCAAAACCGAAAGGUGAAUUACCAAAUGUGAAGUUCCCCAUGAUUUAAAACUUCAGUUUGAUAUAUUUGUAUUGAUAUAUGCUAGAAGUGGCAUACGCCAUUAAAUCACGUACAUGGAGCAAAGGCUUGGUUUUCAGUUUCUGAUUGGUCAAGACCCCAUUUAGCUCUGUAUUGAACCUGUAGAUUCGACUCAGGAAUGGAGGCAGUGGGAGUUGUAACAGUUGUCAGCCGGGGAGUAACCACAAAGCGAGUUUAAGUUAUUGAUUGUUUCUCGAAGCGGGUCAACUGAUGCAAAAUGGUGUUUUGUUUACUAUAGGUGAUGGGUUGAGGCCCGAAUUAAUUAAUGAUGCGGGUCAACUGGUGCAGAGUUAUUGACUGAAGGUGUAUUAAACUGUAGACCUGAGAGAAAGAUGUACAAGUAUGCUUCUAUUAUUUGUUUUUAUUUCUAUUUUUUAAUUUGUUAACUAUUGGGCAAGCAAUGUGUCAAAUAUGGUUAGUUUAUUGUGUCAA